This 228-nucleotide ribosomal RNA is filed under the name uncultured bacterium. RNAcentral describes it as "partial 16S ribosomal RNA". It matches the Rfam family "Bacterial small subunit ribosomal RNA", at positions 542 to 769 of the family's 1533-position model. The record is from RNAcentral.
UGUUCGGAAUUACUGGGCGUAAAGGGAGCGCAGGCGGCCAAAUCAGUCUGAAGUGAAAUCCCGGAGCUUAACUCCGGACGUGCUUUGGAUACUGUUUGGCUUGAGUUCGCGAGAGGUAAGCGGAAUUCCAGGUGUAGCGGUGAAAUGCGUAGAUAUCUGGAGGAACAUCGGUGGCGAAAGCGGCUUACUGGCGCGAUACUGACGCUGAGGCUCGAAAGCGUGGGGAGC